RNAcentral lists this ribosomal RNA (433 nucleotides) under uncultured bacterium. RNAcentral describes it as "partial 16S ribosomal RNA". It matches the Rfam family "Bacterial small subunit ribosomal RNA", at positions 29 to 507 of the family's 1533-position model. The record is from RNAcentral.
AACGAACGCUGGCGGCAUGCCUAACACAUGCAAGUCGAACGAGACCUUCGGGUCUAGUGGCGCACGGGUGCGUAACGCGUGGGAACCUGCCCUUAGGUUCGGAAUAACUCCCCGAAAGGGGUGCUAAUACCGGAUAAUGUCUUCGGACCAAAGAUUUAUCGCCUUUGGAUGGGCCCGCGUUGGAUUAGCUAGUUGGUAGGGUAAAAGCCUACCAAGGCGACGAUCCAUAGCUGGUCUGAGAGGAUGAUCAGCCACACUGGGACUGAGACACGGCCCAGACUCGGACGGGAGGAAGAGGGGGGGAAUAUGGAAAAAGGGGGGAAGGUUUGACCAAGAAAGGCCGGGGGAGAGAUGAGGCCGUAGGGGUUGAAAAGCUUUUUCCCCGGGGAGAAUAAGAACAGUACCGGAAAAAAAAGCCCCGGCAAACUCCGUG